RNAcentral lists this long non-coding RNA (301 nucleotides) under Equus caballus (horse). RNAcentral describes it as "lncRNA (ENSECAG00000049966.1)". The record is from RNAcentral. Lineage: Eukaryota; Metazoa; Chordata; Mammalia; Perissodactyla; Equidae.
CUUCAGUAAAAAAUCAAAUACCCAGAGAGUGGUUUGGAAUUAGAAGAAAUUCAGCUUGUUCAAAUCUGAAAUGGAAGAGGUCCCCUGAGGUUCCUGAACUUUCCAGGAAGUGACCUUCCUUACUCACCUGGAACAUUAGCUGUGAGCUAACAUCUGCCGCCAAACCUCCUCUUUUUGCUGAGGAAGACUGGCCCUGAGCUAACAUCCGUACCCAUCUUCAUCUACUUUAUAUGUGGGACGCCUGCCACAGCAUGGCUUGCCAAGUGGUGCCAUGUCCACACCUGGGAUCUGAACUGGUGAA